GCUGGGCACAGUGGCGCAUGCCUGUAAUCCCAAUGGCUUGGGAGGCUGAGGCAGGAGGUUCAUGAGUUCAAAGCCAGCCUUGGCAAAAGACAGGCACUAAGCAACUCAAUGAGACCCUGUCUCUA
This 125-nucleotide small RNA is filed under the name Marmota monax (woodchuck). The record is from RNAcentral. Lineage: Eukaryota; Metazoa; Chordata; Mammalia; Rodentia; Sciuridae.